RNAcentral lists this ribosomal RNA (492 nucleotides) under uncultured bacterium. RNAcentral's name for it is "partial 16S ribosomal RNA". It matches the Rfam family "Bacterial small subunit ribosomal RNA", at positions 29 to 507 of the family's 1533-position model. The record is from RNAcentral.
AGUGAACGCUGGCGGUAGGCCUAACACACGCAAGUCGAACGGCAGCACAGUAAGAGCUUGCUCUUACGGGUGGCGAGUGGCGGACGGGUGAGGAAUACAUCGGAAUCUACUUUUUCGUGGGGGAUAACGUAGGGAAACUUACGCUAAUACCGCAUACGACCUACGGGUGAAAGCAGGGGAUCUUCGGACCUUGCGCGAUUGAAUUAGCCGAUGUCGGAUUAGCUAGUUGGCUGGGUAAAGGCCCACCAAGGCGACGAUCCGUAGCUGGUCUGAGAGGAUGAUCAGCCACACUGGAACUGAGACACGGUCCAGACUCCUACGGGAGGCAGCAGUGGGGAAUAUUGGACAAUGGGCGCAAGCCUGAUCCAGCCAUACCGCGUGGGUGAAGAAGGCCUUCGGGUUGUAAAGCCCUUUUGUUGGGAAAGAAAAGCAGCAGGUUAAUACCCCGCUGUUCUGACGGUACCCAAAGAAUAAGCACCGGCUAACUUCGUG